RNAcentral lists this ribosomal RNA (331 nucleotides) under uncultured bacterium. RNAcentral describes it as "bacterial SSU rRNA". It matches the Rfam family "Bacterial small subunit ribosomal RNA", at positions 568 to 898 of the family's 1533-position model. The record is from RNAcentral.
UGCGUAGGCGGUUCUUUGUGUCCGCUGUGAAAGCCCCGGGCUUAACCUGGGAAUUGCAGUGGAAACUAGAGGACUCAGAAUCUGGCAGAGGGGGGUGGAAUGCCACGUGUAGCAGUGAAAUGCGUAGAGAUGUGGCGGAACACCGAUGGCGAAGGCAGCCCCCUGGGCUGAGAUUGACGCUCAGACACGAAAGCGUGGGGAGCAAACAGGAUUAGAUACCCUGGUAGUCCACGCCCUAAACGAUGAUCACUAGGUGUUGGGGAAGCGAUUUCCUAGUACCGCAGCUAACGCGUGAAGUGAUCCGCCUGGGGAGUACGGUCGCAAGAUUAAA